CAGCCGCCGCGGGAAUACGUAGGGUGCGAGCGUUAAUCGGAAUUACUGGGCGUAAAGCGUGCGCAGGCGGUUGUGUAAGACAGGUGUGAAAUCCCCGGGCUUAACCUGGGAACUGCGCUUGUGACUGCACAGCUAGAGUAUGGCAGAGGGGGGUGGAAUUCCACGUGUAGCAGUGAAAUGCGUAGAGAUGUGGAGGAACACCGAUGGCGAAGGCAGCCCCCUGGGCCAAUACUGACGCUCAUGCACUAAAGCGUGGGGAGCAAACAGGAUUAGAUACCCCUGUAGUCCCUGUCUCUUAUAC
RNAcentral lists this ribosomal RNA (301 nucleotides) under uncultured bacterium. Its description in RNAcentral is "partial 16S ribosomal RNA". It matches the Rfam family "Bacterial small subunit ribosomal RNA", at positions 509 to 807 of the family's 1533-position model. The record is from RNAcentral.